UUAGUGAAAUAGAAGUUGCUGUUUAUCUUUACUAAUAGAAAAAAAUAUAACUGCGUUUGCUGCAUGAGUUAAUCGUACACAAUAAAAUUAAGGAAUUAUAUUAGAUUUUUGAGAAAAUACCACUUGAACUACAUGCAGGGAGGGUCAAGUGGUAUCAUACUUGCAAGUAGGUUGUCUAUAUGCCUUAGUUCAUAUCUCCGUCAACCGUGGUGCUCUCGACUCUGCAAGCCCAUGCCUAGUGCAGGCAUCUUAAAGCAGUCGGGCUCUCAGCAAAUUCAGAAGGAUAAAACUCCUCCACGGGAAGAAUACCUUACAUUGUUAGGGGUUCAAUUGUCUUAUUUACAAAAGAGAGAUUUGGAGGUUGGCCACAUCUUCUCUUUUGCAUGCUAAUAUUGGAAGCCUUAUGGUCAAUUGUUAUUCUUUGAAUUCUGUUGGACCUACUAUGGAAAUUUAAGCGGUCCAAGGAGAUUCCUUGUAGUUUACUUCACCUCUUCUCUUUCAAGUAACAACUCUUAAACUCAUUACAGUAUCUUAUAGAUUGCUGGUUGUGCAAAGCACCUGCAAUUGGUGCAUUAGGUGCAAUCUCUGGAUUAGUAAGUCAUCUUGAAGUUAUUCGCAAAAUAAGAUUAAUGUUCAUAAGAACCUGUUCCAACUAAUGAUUGUCCGCUUUUAAAAUCUAGGUUUUCUUUCUUUUUGUUUUGUUUUCUUUUCUUUUUUUUGCUUGGGAAAUCAAUCGUUUGCUUUUAUCGCCAGUCUUUUUCUCAUUUUACAAUCUCUUGGCUGUUUAAGUUGGUUUUGUUGCUGUGUUCGUCUUGAGACAGAGGUUUGAUCAGAGAUGCCAAAGAAGAUCUGCAGCACAUGGCACAAGUUAUUUUCCCAAACACGGUAGAUAUGAAACACAAACUUCCCCUUUGUUAAUUUUCUCCGUAAUAAAGUGGCGAUCAAUUUCCACAUGCUUGGUACGGUCAUGGUGUACAGGGUUAUGAGCUAUGCUAACUGCUGCCUGGCUGCCUGGAUGCCAAAGAAGAUAUGCAACACAUAGCACAAGUUAUUUCCCCAAACAUUGAGUUAUUUCGCUACUCUAUGUUUGAGAGCCUAAAACCACUUAUCAAAAAACCCGUCUCAUACAUACCAAAUGCAGUCCCUAGAGUUAGAUGCCUUCGUAAGUCUAGAUUUAAUCAAGUUUCUGCCAUGUUACUGCUUGAUACAAUGAUUUCCUUGAAGAAAAUCGUAGUAUCUAGUAAUCCUCCAGCCUACUUUCUUAGUGCAUCAAGUUCUUUUGCUCUUAUUUUUCUGAGCUCGGUGGUAAUGAAUGUUGAUCAUGCAGGUUAUUAGGCCAAUGUCAAGAGGCGUCGAUAAUUGUGGUUAUGUAAGUCUCAACUACAAUGCCUUCUUGUACAUGUACUUGUAGUAUACCUGUAUUUAAAGUAACGGUUGUGUAUCAUAAGAAUCUCCUUAUACUUCAUUAAUACAGACAUUUACAGUUUUACUUACGAGAUUGUUUAACACCUUAACUUACAAUUUCAGAUAGGAGGCUUGAUUUUAGGAGCAGCAAUUUACUAGUCUGUAUGACCUCCAUGUAAAUAUGCUUCUAUGGCCAGCAAUGGCCAAAGAUUAUUCUCAGAUUGACAAGUAUUUUUUUACCUUUCUGACAGAAAGCUGAAACCUUGAUGAACCAGUCUAAAGGCCAGUUUUUAGCAUUGCUUCUAAGAAGCACUUUUGGGGAGAAGCUAAAAUUUUCUGCUUCUGUCAAAAGCACUUUUGGGCCAAUUUUUGGGUUUUGAAAAGCACUUUUUCUCUCAAAAAGCAUCUUGUUUAGCAAUGCUUUUAUCUCAGAAGUGUUUUUUGUCCCAAAAGUACUUCUUAGAAGCAAUGCUAAACUGGCCCUAAGUAUUGACAAUUGUGACACUGGUUCGGAUUUAAAUUGGUUGUAGAUAUACCAUAUGCAAAGUAUUACAAGGGGUUUGCAAGGUAGAAGUGAAUUCUAAUCAAAUCAGUGAUUUACCAGAAAUAAUCGAAGGGAUGUUCCCUAGCUAUUUUCUGAUGAAUCACUGACCGUUCAGAGUUCACCACCAGUUCUGUGUUGCAUUUUAGCAAAACAAUCUGUGUUCUGAUAUCUGCAGUGUAGUGGAGUUUGAAGUGAAGAUAGCCCUUUUCUUAUAUUGAAGCUCGUUGAAUCUUUACCGUUCAUUUAUGAUUAUUACACUUAAUCAUAUCCAUUAAAAAAAAGGGAAACUUAAUUAAUGCUAACAUUUAUAAAAAUUCCUUCUAUGGCAAUAGGCAUAUCCACCACCUACCACUUUAGAUUAUCAUUUAGAGUUAGUGCAUUAGAAGAUGCUGUUAUAUUUACUAUUACAAAAAAAUAUAACCGCGUUUGGUGCAUGAGUUAAUUGUACACAAUAAAGUUGUAGAAUUGUAUUAGAUUUUUGAGCAAAUACCACUUGAGCUACAUGCAGGGAGGCUCAAGUGGUCAAGUAGGUUGCCUAUAUGCCUUAGGUUGGUGCUUCAAGCCUCCUCACACGUAAAUGAUUUCCAUAAUUAAUGUUACACUAUAUAUUGACACCUCUCCAGUGAGUUUUGCAGGUCAUAUGUCCGUGAAUGCGGAAGGACAAAGAAAAAGGUUUGGAAAUGAUACUGUCUGUCCUUCGUGUUGAUCUUACUUAUUCUUCAAUGCAGAAGAACAAAGAAAAAAGUUUGGAAAUGCUGGAAAUAGUGGAUCAUCCAAGAUAUGUACUUACAGGAGGAAUUCAUUGAACACAAGGAAAUUGCCCAUUGUGAGUUUUCGCUUGUGAAAACAAUUACAUGUUCAUUCAACAAAGGAUUGAAUUGUCUGUAUAAAAACAAAAAGUAAAUUAUAUAAUUUGCAGAAUUUAUGUUGCACAAUUGGCAACACAAGGGAAGCUCUUGCUUUGGUUUCAUUAUAGUUUUAGAAACUGUGGGUUGAUAUUUGAUUACCGGUUAUGCAUAUUGUAUUUGGACUCGGUCAAAGAAAACUAGGUGCCACUACAAGUUACUGGUUCUUCCAAGCACCCGCAGUUGGUACAUCAGGCACAAUAUUUAGAUUAGAAAGUCACCUCGAACUUAUUCGCAAAAUAAGAUUAAUGUUCAUAAGAACCUCUUCCAACUAAUGCAUGUCUGCCUUGAAAUUUAGAUUUUCUUUUGAAAUAGAUUUUUUGCUUUUAUUGCGUGUCUUUGUCUCAUUUGACAUUCUCUUGGUUGUCUAGGUUGGUUCCGUUGCUGUGUUUGUAACGAGAUAUAGAGGUAUGAUCAGAGAUGCCAAACAAGAUCUGCAACACAGCACAAGUUAUUUCGACAAGCCCAGUAUGAUUCUAAGUUUUCGCUAACCUAAAACCAUAUAAUUAACCAUCAAAAAACCGGUCUCAUACAUACCAAAUGCAGUUCCUAGAGUUUGAUGCAGCAGUUUACUGGUCUGUAGGACCUGCAUGGAAGUAUGAAUCUAUGGCCAGCAAUGGCCAAAGAAUAUUCUCAGACUGAAAACCACUUUUUACCUUACUGACAGAAAGCUGAAACCUCGAUGAACCAGUGUAAGCAUUGACAAUUGCGACACAGGCUCUGAUUUUAAUUGGUUGCAGCUAUAUUAUAUGCAAAGUAUAGCAAGGGGUUUGCAAGGAAGAAGUGAAUUCUAAUCGAACCAGUGAUUUACCAGAAAAUAAUCGAAGGGAUGAUGGUGAUUUCCCUAGCUAUAUUCUGAUACAUCACUGACCGUUCAGAGUUCGUCACCAUUUCUGUAUUGCAAUUUAGCAAAACAACCUGUUUUCUGAUAUCUGUAGUGUAGUGAAGUUUGGAGUGAAGAUGGCCCUUUUUUUAUAUUGAAGUUCGUUGAAUCUUGACCCUUGAUUUAUGAUUAUUACACUUAAUCAUAUCCGUUAAAAAAUGGGAAACUUAAUUAAUGCUAACAUUUAUAAAAAUUCCUUAUAUGGCAUUAUGCAUAUCCACCAGACCAGCACCUACCACUUUAGAUUAUCAUUUAGUGUUAGUGAAAUAGAAGUUGCUGUUUAUCUUUACUAAUACAAAAAAAUAUAACCGCUUUCUGUGCAUGAGCUAAUCGUAGACAAUAAAAUUAUGGAAUUAUAUUAGAUUUUUUAGAAAAUACAACUUGAACUACAUGCAGGGAGGGUCAAGUGGUAUCAUACUUGCAAGUAGAUUGCCUAUAUGCCUUAGGUUGAUGCUUCAAGCCUCCUCACACAUAAAUGAUUUCCAUAAUUAAUGUUACACUAUAUAUUGACACCUCUCCAGUGAGUUUUGCAGGUCAUAUCUCCGUCAACCGAGGUGCUCUUGACUCUACUAACCCACGCCUACGGCAGGCCUCUUAAAGCAGUUGGGCUCUCAGCAAAUUCAGAAGGAUAAAACUACGCCACUGGAAGAAUACAUUACAUUGUUAGGGGUUCAAUUGUCUUAUUGACAAAAGAGAGAUUUGGAAGUUGGCCACGUCUUCUCUUUUGCAUGCUAAUAUUGGAAGCCUUAUGGUCAAUUGUUAUUCUUUGAAUUCUGAUGGACCUACUAUGGAGAAUUUAAGCGGUCCAAGGAGAUCCCUUGCAGUUUACUUCACCUCUGCUCUUUCAAGUAACAACUCUUAAACUCAUUACAGUACCUUAUAAAUAGCUUGUUGUGCAAAGCACCUGCUGUUGGUGCAUUAGGUGCAAUCUUUGGAUUGAGAUAUGAUCAGAGAUGCCCAAGAAGAUCUGCAGCACAUGGCACAAGUUAUUUUCCCAAACACGCUAUGUGGCUUCUUGGAGGAGCAGCAGUGUCCUGGCUUAUAGGACCUGCAUGGAAGUACGAUUUUGACUCAGCCAAAGAAAACUAGGUGCCACUACAAGUUACUGGUUCUUCAAAGCACCCGCAGUCGAUACAUCAGGCGCAAUAAUUGGUUGAUUAAGUCAUCUCGAACUUAUUCGCAAAAUAAGAUUAAUGUUCAUAAGAACCUGUUACAACUAAUGAUUGUCUGCCUUGAAAAUCUAGGUUGUUUCUGUUGCUGUGUUUGUAUUGAGACAUAGAGGUAUGAUCAGAGAUGCCAAAGAAGAUAUGCAACACAUAGCACAAGUUUUUUCCCCAAAUAUGGUUAUUAGGCUUAUGUCAAGAGGCGUCGAUAACUGUGGUUAUAUAGGAGGCUUGAUUUGAGGAGCAGCAGUUACUGGUCUGUAGGACCUGCAUGGAAGUAUGAAUCUAUGGCCAGAAAUGGCCAAAGAAUAUUCUCAGACUGAAAACCAGUUUUUACCUUACUGACAGAAAGCUGAAACCUUGAUGAAUCAGUCUAACGGCCAGUUUUUAGCAUUGCUUCUACGAAGCACUUUUGGGCAAAAAGCUAAGAUUUUCUGCUUCUGUCAAAGGCAGUUUUGGUCCAAUUUUUGGGUUUUGAAAAGUACUUUUUCUCUCAAAAAGCAUCUUUUUUAGCAAUGCUUUUAUCUCAAAAGUGUUUUUUGUCCGAAAAGUGCUUCUUAGAAGCAAUGCUAAACUGGCCUUAAGUAUUGACAACUGUGACACCGGCUCUAAUUUAAAUUGGUUGUAGAUAUACUUUAUGCAAAGUAUUACAAGGGGUUUGCGAGGUAGAAGUUAAUUCUAAUCGAAUCAGUGAUUUACACGAAACAAUCGAAGGGAUGAUAAUGAUUUCCCUAGCUAUUUUCUGAUAAAUCACUGACCGUUCAGAGUUCACCACCAUUUCUGUGUUGCAUUUUUGCAAAACAAUCUGUGUUCUGAUAUCUGUAGUGUAGUGGAGUUUGAAGUGAAGAUAGCCCUUUUCUUAUAUUGAAGCUCAUUGAAUCUUGACCGUUCAUUUAUGAAUAUUACACUUAAUUAUAUCCGUUAAAAGAAAGGGAAACUUAAUUAAUGCUAACAUUUAUAAAAAUUCCUUAUAUGGCAAUAUGCGUAUCCACCACCUGCCCCUUUAGAUUAUCAUUUAGAGUUAGUGAAAUAGAAGAUGCUGUUAUCUUUACUAUUACAAAAAAAUAUAACCGCGUUUGGUGCAUGAGUUAAUCAUACACAAUAAAAUUGUGGAAUUGUAUUAGAUUUUUGAGAAAAUACCACUUGAGCUACAUUCAGGGAGGCUCAUGUGGUAUCAUACUUGCAGGUAGGUUGCCUAUAUGCCCUAGGUUGGUGCUUCAAGCCUCCUCACACGUAAAUGAUUUCCAUAAUUAAUGUUACACUAUAUAUUAACACCUUUCCAGUGAGUUUUGCAGGUCAUAUCUCCAUCAACCGAGGUGCUGUCCUCUCUGUGAACCCAUGCCUACGGCAGGCCUCUUAAAGCAGUUGGGCUCUCAGCAAAUUCAGAAGGAUAAAACUCCGCCAUGGGAAGAAUACCUUACAUUGUUAAGGUUUCAACUGCCUCAUUGACAAAAGAGAGAUUUGGAGAUUGGCCACAUCUUCUCUUUUGCAUGCUAAUAUUGGACGCUUUAUGGUCAGUUGUUAUUCUUUGAAUUCUGAUGGACCUACGAUGGAGAAUUUAAGCGGUCCAAGGAGAUUCCUUGUAGUUUUCUUCACCUCUGCUCUUUCAAGUAACAACUUUUAAACUCGUUACAGUACCUUAUAAAUUGCUUGUUCUGCAAAGCACCUGCUGUUGGUGCAUUAGGUGCAAUCUUUGGAUUAGUAAGUCAUCUCGAACAUAUUCGCAAAAUAAGAUUAAUGUUCUUAAGAACCUUUUCCAACUAAUGAUUGUCCGCUUUUAAAAUCUAGGUUUUCUUUCUUUUCGUUUUUUUUGCUUGGGAAAUUAAUUGUUUGCUUUUAUCGCCCGAAUUUGUCUCAUUUGACAAUCUCUUGGCUGUCAAAGUUGGUUUUGUUGCGGUGUUUGUCUUGAGACAGAGGUAUGAUCAGAGAUAACCAAGAAGAUCUGCAGCACAUGGCACAAGUUAUUUUCCCAAACACGGUAUGAUUCAAAGCUUUUGCAAUUCAAUAUUUGAGAUUUGGAGGAACCGUAUGAAGCCAUGUCAAUAAACCCGUCUCAUAUAUACCGAAUGCAGUCCCUAGAGUUGUUGCCUUAGUAAGUCUAGAUUUAUUCAAGUUUCUGUUAUGUUACUGGUGUGAUACAAUGACUACUCUGAAAAAAGGUGUAGUCUCUACCGUCCUCAAGCGGACUUUUCUUAACGCAUCAAAUGCUUUUGCGCCUGCAUUUCGGAUGUUAGUAAUGAAUGUUGAUGAUGCAUGCUAUUGGGCUUAUGUCAAUAGGCAUUGAUAAUUGGGGACACGUAAGUUUUAACUAUUACACGUGUGCUUGUAGUAUACCGCUAUUUAAAGUAACGGUUACGUAUCAUAAGAAUCACCAUACUUCUUCGUUAAUACUGACAGUUAGAGUUUUACUUCCGAAAUUGUUCAAAAUCUAAACUUACAAUUUCAGCUAUGUGGCGUCUUGGAGGAGCACCAGUGUCCUGGCUUAUAGGACCUACAUGGAAGUACGAUUUUGACUCAGUCAAAGAAAACUAGGUGCCGCUACAAGUUACUGGUUCUUCAAAGCACCCGCAGUUGGUACAUCAGGCGCAAUAAUUGGAUGAGUAAGUUGUACAAGCCCAAUUAUGCCCAGCCCAAACUAAAAGACCAAACCCAAUUAAAUACAAAUCCUAAAGCCCAAAUUCUAGCCCCCUGCAGAGAAGAGAAAACAGCAGUAGCCCUCAAGCUUCAGCAGCACACUCGGCCAACCAAUAGUCUCCUCGCGCACCACCACCGGCAUAUGCUCCCUUCAUGCGUCUGACACACCCAUACCCUGCAAACACCAACAAAAACAGCAGCCGCAACAGAGGAAUGGUUGCAUUUUUUUAUUUGUUAUUAUAAUCAGUUAUAAAACCGAAGGGAGAAAUUUUGUAAAGGGGAGAGGAAGAAAAAAAAAGAAGGAACACCAGCAAUCAAAAAAUAUAUACAAAAGGUUCAUAUUCGAGUUUA
Gossypium arboreum is the source of this 7884-nucleotide long non-coding RNA. RefSeq lists it as uncharacterized. NCBI's taxonomy places the organism in Eukaryota, Viridiplantae, Streptophyta, Magnoliopsida, Malvales, Malvaceae. The transcript has 11 exons. The record is from RefSeq and is a predicted model, not a curated record.